This 373-nucleotide ribosomal RNA is filed under the name uncultured organism. RNAcentral describes it as "partial 16S ribosomal RNA". It matches the Rfam family "Bacterial small subunit ribosomal RNA", at positions 527 to 896 of the family's 1533-position model. The record is from RNAcentral.
GUAGGUGGCAAGCGUUGUCCGGAAUUAUUGGGCGUAAAGCGCGCGCAGGCGGUCCUUUAAGUCUGAUGUGAAAACCCACGGCUCAACCGUGGAGGGUCAUUGGAAACUGGGGGACUUGAGUACAGAAGAGGAAAGCGGAAUUCCAAGUGUAGCGGUGAAAUGCGUAGAGAUUUGGAGGAACACCAGUGGCGAAGGCGGCUUUCUGGUCUGUAACUGACGCUGAGGCGCGAAAGCGUGGGGAGCAAACAGGAUUAGAUACCCUGGUAGUCCACGCCGUAAACGAUGAGUGCUAAGUGUUAGGGGGUUUCCCGCCCCCUUAGUGCUGCAGCUAACGCAUUAAGCACUCCGCCUGGGGAGUACGGCCGCAAGGCUG